Molecule: long non-coding RNA, 1699 nt
Organism: Alligator mississippiensis (American alligator)
Lineage: Eukaryota; Metazoa; Chordata; Crocodylia; Alligatoridae
Exons: 2
Source: RefSeq, a predicted model, not a curated record
CAGGGAUGUGGCAUGGAGGAGCGGCUGGACCUACCCCUCCACCCACGGCCCUGGAGGAGCCACUGGUCUCCCGUGGCCCAGCCUCAGCACAGCCUGCCCCCCUGCUGGGAUCAGCCCAGCCUAGCCUCAUCCCAAAGUCCCCCUGCCUUUCCCCCGGCAGCGGCAGCGCCACCCCCACUCCCCUUUCCACUUCCCUCCUCUGCCCCCCUCCCCCUCCCUGCUGGCUGUUGUCAGUGUGCUGCGGCAUGGCAGCUCCCUGGUCCCCAACCACCUCUAUCUGCUGCACUGAGCAGCGAUGCAGAGUUGUGCUCAGGCCAGCCAAUUGCUGCCUGCCCUCUUGGCCAUGCAUGUGCAGUUGGCCCAGAGCAUUAUGGGCAGACAGACUGACUAAGGCUUUUAUUUUAUAUAUAUAUAUAUAUAUAUAGUACCUCAUGUAUAUUUAUGUUUGGGUUUUUUUGCUACUGUUCAGCUUUGUGUUUCCUUACGUUCAAUUUAUCUCAACUAUAAUUUUACAGGCCCAUCUACUCCCUAAUGUGGAUUUUUCCUGUGAUACUGAAAGAGCAGCAAAGGGAGAGCUCAUGGACUCUGAGAAGAAUCCCAAUAUGAUAGAUUUCAACUCUUCCUCUUAAAAAAAUAUUUUUUUUCAAAUAUCCCAAUCUAGCAAACCCCCCCCAGUUUGUUUGUUUUUUAUUGUUAAAAUGCAUUCCCUCCCCUUCCCCAACCAUUUCUAACUUUCUCUCUGCCCUCUCUAUCCCUUUAUAAGUGAUUUUAAGUAGUCCUAGGUAAGCUAAGCUAAGGCCUUGUAUACUAUUAUUGUAAUAAGCCCCUUUUUAUAAAUUGUAAAUAGUGUUCUGUUAUGUUUGUAUUGAUUUUUACUGUUUUAUAUUGUAUUAUAUUGUAUUCCUAUAAUUUGUGCAUUGGGUGUUAUUGUUUCAUAUUAAUAUUGUAUGGUUUAGGCCUGUGUCUAUGAAGUGAUGCCAAGUAUUCAUUCCCAUCUUGUCCCCAUACCCUAGUGUGUAAGUAUGUUGCACUUCUGUAACCUUUCCCAUGUAAAUUGGUUUUCCUUGAAUGCCUGAAACAAAAGAGUGAAUGGAUGAGUGAAACACAAUGAUAGCAGGACCCCCUCCUACAUCACCCCACCAUCAAAACCAAUACCUGGACCAAUGACCCAGCCCUUGGAACCACCCUCCGCAUUCGAGACACAAACGACGAGGCAGACACCAUUGUGCCAAGGCUGCACAUGCGCAGUAUGAACACCUGGAACCCUCUGGAACAGGACUGACCUUGCCUGGACAGGUCCUCCCCAGAGGAGAUCAGAGGUAGUCUGCCCCAUAAAAAAGGAUAGUGAAGACUGACCAUUUGGGAUGCCAUCUUCACCUGGACCAGACCUGCUCCACGUCAUGCUGCCUAUCAACCCAGAGGCCCUGCCGGUGACCUCCUCUAGACAACACCUGCUGGAGAAAGACCCCAGCUGGCCAUCGAGGACCCCCUCCCAGCCUGGAUAGGUAGCUAUCACCCCCACCCUUUCUUCAAACAAGGUUUUGGACUACGUUUCUCUUCCCUACCUGGACUCCAGCCCUUCCAUUGAGUCGCUUUCUCCUGCUGCCAUUGUGUGAGUGUGUGUGGGAGUGCUUGCAUGAGUGUGUGUGGGAACCAAGCUGUACAGUACAGUGUUCAUUUAAUAAAACUGUUAUUUGGA